This 308-nucleotide long non-coding RNA is filed under the name Canis lupus dingo (dingo). RNAcentral describes it as "lncRNA (ENSCAFG00020016430.1)". The record is from RNAcentral. Lineage: Eukaryota; Metazoa; Chordata; Mammalia; Carnivora; Canidae.
AAGGCAGAAAGUAGGUCAGGGACGGAGGUGCCUGUUUACCCGCGCCGGACUCACCGCCGCCGCCGCCGCGGGAUCCGAGUGGGGGCGCGGACGCGGGCGCUCCCGCGAGCCUCGGUGGUGCUGGUUAGAGUACACACUUUUGGAUCCAAAGUUAAGUUUUCAAAUGUGGAAUCCUAGGCCUUCACUGGUUUCUGGAAGAAGUUGACUGCCUGAAAGGAAACUACAAAACAUGAGACUCGCUUUGAGGUGACCAAUAAGUCCCGUGGCCCCUUGCUCCGCCCAGGGUGGAUCUGAGCUUUAAGAACUAU